This 405-nucleotide ribosomal RNA is filed under the name uncultured bacterium. RNAcentral describes it as "partial 16S ribosomal RNA". It matches the Rfam family "Bacterial small subunit ribosomal RNA", at positions 30 to 526 of the family's 1533-position model. The record is from RNAcentral.
AUUGAACGCUGGCGGCAGGCUUAACACAUGCAAGUCGAACGAGUGGCGGACGGGUGAGUAAUGCUUGGGAAUCUAGCUUAUGGAGGGGGAUAACUAUGGGAAACUGUAGCUAAUACCGCGUAACAUAGGAUGAGCCCAAGUGGGAUUAGGUAGUUGGUGAGGUCAAGGCUCACCAAGCCGACGAUCUCUAGCUGGUCUGAGAGGAUGACCAGCCACACUUGGACUUGGACGCGGCCCAAACUCCUACGGGAGGCAGCAGUGGGGAAGAUUGCGCACUGGGGGGAACCUGACUCAGCCAUGCCGCGUGAAUGAAGAAGGCCUUCGGGUUGUAAAGUUCUUUCGGUAGCGAGGCGUUACCUACAGAAGAAGCACCGGCUAACUCCGUGCCAGCAGCCCCGGUAAUAC